UUCAUUGCUGCUCAUAUUGCUGCCCAAAAUCAUUUCAGCCUGAGGCCUACCAUCUAUCUUUGAGAGAGAGAUGCCUAUACUAUCUGUUGUAUGUUCUGUUCUCUCUCUGACAGCAUCUUUCAAAUAAAAUCUCGGAGCCAGUAAUUUUUGUUUCUUCUUUUCCAAAAUAAUAUCAGAGGUAACUUUCCCGGUAUAAGUUCUUAUUGCUUCU
Molecule: long non-coding RNA, 211 nt
Filed under: Actinidia chinensis (golden kiwifruit)
Lineage: Eukaryota; Viridiplantae; Streptophyta; Magnoliopsida; Ericales; Actinidiaceae
Description: long non-coding RNA (ACHI_LNC004357)
Source: RNAcentral